GGACUGAGAUACGGCCCAGACUCCUACGGGAGGCAGCAGUGGGGAAUAUUGCACAAUGGGCGCAAGCCUGAUGCAGCGACGCCGCGUGCGGGAUGACGGCCUUCGGGUUGUAAACCGCUUUUGACUGGGAGCAAGCCCUUCGGGGUGAGUGUACCUUUCGAAUAAGCACCGGCUAACUACGUGCAGCAGCCGCGGUAAUACGUAGGGUGCAAGCGUUAUCCGGAAUCAUUGGGCGUAAAGGGCUCGUAGGCGGUUCGUCGCGUCCGGUGUGAAAGUCCAUCGCUUAACGGUGGAUCCGCGCCGGGUACGGGCGGGCUUGAGUGCGGUAGGGGAGACUGGAAUUCCGGGUGUAACGGUGGAAUGUGUAGAUAUCGGGAAGAACACCAAUGGCGAAGGCAGGUCUCUGGGCCGUCACUGACGCUGAGGAGCGAAAGCGUGGGGAGCGAACAGGAUUAGAUACCCUGGUAGUCCACGCCGUAAACGGUGGAUGCUGGAUGUGUGGACCAUUCCACGGUCUCCGUGUCGGAGCCAACGCGUUAAGCAUCCCGCCUGGGGAGUACGGCCGCAAGGCUAAAACUCAAAGAAAUUGACGGGGGCCCGCACAAGCGGCGGAGCAUGCGGAUUAAUUCGAUGCAACGCGAAGAACCUUACCUGGGCUUGACAUGUUCCCGACAGCCCCAGAGAUGGGGCCUCCCUUCGGGGCGGGUUCACAGGUGGUGCAUGGUCGUCGUCAGCUCGUGUCGUGAGAUGUUGGGUUAAGUCCCACAACGAGCGCAACCCUCGCCCUGUGUUGCCAGCACGUCGUGGUGGGAACUCACGGGGGACCGCCGGGGUCAACUCGGAGGAAGGUGGGGAUGACGUCAGAUCAUCAUGCCCCUUACGUCCAGGGCUUCACGCAUGCUACAAUGGCCGGUACAACGGGAUGCGACCUCGUGAGGGGGAGCGGAUCCCUUAAAACCGGUCUCAGUUCGGAUUGGAGUCUGCAACCCGACUCCAUGAAGGCGGAGUCGCUAGUAAUCGCGGAUCAGCAACGCCGCGGUGAAUGCGUUCCCGGGCCUUGUACACACCGCCCGUCAAGUCAUGAAAGUGGGUAGCACCCGAAGCCGGUGGCCCAACCUUUUUGGGGGGAGCCGUCUAAGGUGAGACUCGUGAUUGGGACUAAGUCGUAACAAGGUAGCCGUACCGGAAGGUGCGGCUG
Molecule: ribosomal RNA, 1198 nt
Filed under: metagenome
Description: bacterial SSU rRNA
Rfam family: Bacterial small subunit ribosomal RNA
Source: RNAcentral